CUUUGAAUAAAGUCUACACAACUUUUUCCAGCAGUCAAAUUUCCCACAGUGUGGCUCCCUCCUAUAUUUGAAACCUUUGUUCUGGUGGCUCCUCCAUUGAAAUUCCAGAAAGAAAAAACACUGUUCAUAUGAGAGCAAAGCUGUGGAGAGGGGCAAGUGCAAAGCACUUGGUGAAAGGAAGUUUUUGUAAACUUUUUAGAUUUAAUUUCUGGCAUACAAUCUCUGGAAGCCGAACAAUGCAAGUUCUAAAUUAUCACAGAUACAUCUGUAUGUGUGUGUCUCAUCCUCUAGACUAAGGAAACUCUAUAAAUGGGCUACUAUGAUCUUUAUAGCAUGUAAAUGAUGAAAAUAAAGAAGGAUGUUGCUCAAGCCUCCCAUCUGUCAAAGCCCCUAGCCUAUCACAUUAUGCAACCUUUGUAAAUAUUCAUUGAAUUUAGAAUGAACAAAUUAAUGAGCGCAUGCAUGAAUGAAUGGAAAAACUACUGUGGCAGGUGCUGGUGGUGUCCUGCCUAUAUCUUGCAAAUACUGAAAAUACCUGCAACUUUCUACUGGAAGUCUUUUUUUUUCUUUCUUUCCUGGCUACAGAUGUGUUCCCAACCUACCCCCAGUUCAAGCUGGAAGUGUCAGAGAGUUGCAGUGCUUUCUAGGAUCACUUCACUGCACAAAACAACCCCCAAAACACAAGAAACCCCCAAACCAAAAAAACUA
Non-coding RNA from Kogia breviceps (pygmy sperm whale), 708 nucleotides. The record is from RefSeq and is a predicted model, not a curated record. Lineage: Eukaryota; Metazoa; Chordata; Mammalia; Artiodactyla; Physeteridae.